This 269-nucleotide unclassified non-coding RNA is filed under the name Hevea brasiliensis (rubber tree). Lineage: Eukaryota; Viridiplantae; Streptophyta; Magnoliopsida; Malpighiales; Euphorbiaceae. The record is from RNAcentral.
AAUAAAAAAUAAAAUAAAAUCAGCAAUAAAUUGAUGAGAGACAAUUCUGAAAAUAAAGUGAUACAAAUUGCAGCUGAUGAGUAUCAUAUCAAUUAAUUAUCAGCUAUACUUGAAAGGUGAUACAAAUUGCCUGGUGUUUCCAGGUCUCCAAUACGUCCCUAUAUGGGAGACAGCAUCAAGUCUUAUUUAAUGUACUUUUUUUGUUCAAUCUCUCUGUGUUUAUUUAUUAAACUGCUUUGAAAGUAGGAAGAUGAGACAUGAAAUGCAAA